CAGCCGCCGCGGUAAUACCGGCGGCCCGAGUGGCGGCCACUAUUAUUGGGCUUAAAGCGUCCGUAGCCGGGUUGGUUAGUCUCCCGGGAAAUCUGGCCGCUUAACGGUCAGAAUUCCGGGAGAUACUGCCAGCCUAGGGACCGGGAGAGGCCGAGGGUCUUCCCGGAGUAGGGGUGAAAUCCUAUAAUCCCGGGAGGACCACCUGUGGCGAAGGCGCUCGGCUGGAACGCGUCCGACGGUGAGGGACGAAGGCCAGGGGAGCAAACCGGAUUAGAUACCCGGGUAGUCCUGGCUGUAAACGAUGCGGACUUUGUGUCGGACAAGCUAUGAGCUUGUCCGGUGCCGGAGGGAAACCGUUAAGUCCGCCGCCUGGGGAGUACGGCCGCAAGGCUGAAACUUAAAGGAAUUGGCGGG
RNAcentral lists this ribosomal RNA (414 nucleotides) under uncultured microorganism. Its description in RNAcentral is "bacterial SSU rRNA". It matches the Rfam family "Archaeal small subunit ribosomal RNA", at positions 459 to 872 of the family's 1478-position model. The record is from RNAcentral.